GCUUGCAUUGGGCUUUGUCUACUUUAUGUAGAGGUCUAAAAGUUAGUGGCGGUUAAGUUAGGCAUUCCGGCGUAGUAGUUAUAUUAGCUGUUGAAAUGUCUUUUAACAGUCAACAUCUCCAUGGUUUCUGCUGGCAGAGACCUGGUUGAAUUUUAUCAAUUAUUGACCUCGGAUCAGGUGAGGAUACCCGCUGAAUUUAA
This 200-nucleotide unclassified non-coding RNA is filed under the name soil metagenome. RNAcentral describes it as "partial contains internal transcribed spacer 2 and large subunit ribosomal RNA". The record is from RNAcentral.